RNAcentral lists this ribosomal RNA (814 nucleotides) under uncultured bacterium. RNAcentral's name for it is "bacterial SSU rRNA". It matches the Rfam family "Bacterial small subunit ribosomal RNA", at positions 8 to 796 of the family's 1533-position model. The record is from RNAcentral.
AGAGUUUGAUCCUGGCUCAGAACGAACGCUGGCGGCGNNGAUAAGACAUGCAAGUCGAACGCUAAUUUCGGGGUAGCAAUAUUCCGGAGUUGGAGUGGCGAAAGGGUGCGUAACAUGUGGGUAAUCUGCCGUGAAGUUUGGGAUAACUUGCUGAAAGGCGAGCUAAUACCGGAUGUAAUCUCUGGGAGACAUCUCUUGGUGAUUAAAGUUGGGGACCGCAAGCCUGACGCUUCACGAUGAGCCCGCAUCCUAUCAGCUAGUUGGUGAGGUAACGGCUCACCAAGGCUAAGACGGGUAGCUGGUCUGAGAGGACGACCAGCCACACUGGAACUGAGACACGGUCCAGACACCUACGGGUGGCAGCAGUCGAGAAUUUUUCACAAUGGGCGAAAGCCUGAUGGAGCGACGCCACGUGGGGGAUGAAGGGCUUCGGUCCGUAAACCCCUGUCAUUUGCGAACAAACCUUUCCACCUAACACGUGGAGAGCUGAUUGUAGCGAAAGAGGAAGGGACGGCUAACUCUGUGCCAGCAGCCGCGGUAAUACAGAGGUCCCAAGCGUUGUUCGGAUUUACUGGGCGUAAAGGGUGCGUAGGUGGCGAGGUAAGUUUGAUGUGAAAUCUCCGAGCUCAACUCGGAAACGGCAUUGAAUACUAUCCCGCUUGAGGGUCGGAGGGGAGACUGGAAUUCUCGGUGUAGCAGUGAAAUGCGUAGAUAUCGAGAGGAACACCAGUGGCGAAGGCGAGUCUCUGGACGACUCCUGACACUGAGGCACGAAAGCUGGGGGAGCAAACAGGAUUAGAUACCCUAGUAGUCC